RNAcentral lists this ribosomal RNA (495 nucleotides) under uncultured fungus. RNAcentral's name for it is "eukaryotic LSU rRNA". It matches the Rfam family "Eukaryotic large subunit ribosomal RNA", at positions 139 to 649 of the family's 3401-position model. The record is from RNAcentral. Lineage: Eukaryota; Fungi.
CGAGUUGUAAUUUGUAGAGGAUGCUUCGGCGUCGGCUCCGGUCUAAGUUCCUUGGAACAGGACGUCAUAGAGGGUGAGAAUCCCGUAUGUGAUCGGUUGCCCUUGCCAUGUGAAGCUCCUUCGACGAGUCGAGUUGUUUGGGAAUGCAGCUCUAAAUGGGAGGUAAAUUUCUUCUAAAGCUAAAUACUGGCCAGAGACCGAUAGCGCACAAGUAGAGUGAUCGAAAGAUGAAAAGCACUAUGGAAAGAGAGUCAAAAAGUACGUGAAAUUGUUGAAAGGGAAGCGCUUGCAACCAGACCUGCCUGCAGUUGCUCGUCCGGGCUUUUGCCCGGUGCACUCUUCUGCUGUCAGGCCAGCAUCAGUUCGGGCGGUCGGAUAAAGGCUUCGGGAAUGUAGCUCCUCUCGAGGAGUGUUAUAGCCCGUUGCGAAAUGCGGCCAGCCUGAACUGAGGUCCGCGCUUCGGCUAGGAUGCUGGCGUAAUGGUUGUAAGCGGCC